UACAGAGGGUGCAAGCGUUGUCCGGAAUCACUGGGCGUAAAGGGCGCGUAGGCGGCCUGAUAAGUCGGGGGUGAAAUUCUGCGGCUUAACCGCAGGACGGCCUUCGAGACUGUCGGGCUUGAGCACGGUAGAGGCUGGUGGAAUUCCCGGUGUAGCGGUGGAAUGCGUAGAGAUCGGGAGGAACACCAAUGGCGAAGGCAGCUCGCUGGGACGGUAUUGACGCUGAGACGCGAAAGCGUGGGGAGCAAACAGG
RNAcentral lists this ribosomal RNA (253 nucleotides) under uncultured bacterium. RNAcentral describes it as "partial 16S ribosomal RNA". It matches the Rfam family "Bacterial small subunit ribosomal RNA", at positions 524 to 776 of the family's 1533-position model. The record is from RNAcentral.